Molecule: ribosomal RNA, 481 nt
Filed under: uncultured Wolinella sp.
Lineage: Bacteria; Pseudomonadati; Campylobacterota; Epsilonproteobacteria; Campylobacterales; Helicobacteraceae
Description: bacterial SSU rRNA
Rfam family: Bacterial small subunit ribosomal RNA
Source: RNAcentral
AGAGUUUGAUCAUGGCUCAGAGUGAACGCUGGCGGCGUGCUUAACACAUACAAGUCGAGCGAAGUGGCAGCUGUAGCAAUACAGUAUGUACUUAGCGGCAGACGGGUGAGUAACACGUAGAUAACUUUCCUCUAAGCGGGGGAUAGCUUGCCGAAAGGCGAGGUAAUACCGCGUAUAAUCAAGAUUCGGCAUCGGAUUUUGAUGAAACAUCCGCAAGGAUGGCUAAGAGAGAGAUCUGCGGCCUAUCAGCUAGUUGGUGGGGUAACGGCCCACCAAGGCUAUGACGGGUAUCCGACCUGAAAGGGUGACCGGACACACUGACACUGAGACACGGGUCAGACUCCUACGGGAGGCAGCAGUGAGGAAUUUUGGACAAUGGGGGCAACCCUGAUCCAGCGACGCCGCGUGAAGGAUGAAGGUCUUCGGAUUGUAAACUUCUUUUAUCUGGGACUAAGAAAUCUAUGGAAACAUAGGGAGUGAA